Molecule: ribosomal RNA, 253 nt
Filed under: uncultured bacterium
Lineage: Bacteria
Description: partial 16S ribosomal RNA
Rfam family: Bacterial small subunit ribosomal RNA
Source: RNAcentral
UACGGAGGGAGCUAGCGUUGUUCGGAAUUACUGGGCGUAAAGUGCACGUAGGCGGCUUUGUAAGUUAGAGGUGAAAGCCCGGGGCUCAACCCCGGAAUUGCCUUUAAGACUGCAUCGCUAGAAUUGUGGAGAGGUAAGUGGAAUUCCGAGUGUAGAGGUGAAAUUCGUAGAUAUUCGGAAGAACACCAGUGGCGAAGGCGACUUACUGGACACAUAUUGACGCUGAGGUGCGAAAGCGUGGGGAGCAAACAGG